CUAUGAUUUACACCUACACGGCAACUCGCUCCCCAUAUCCUCCAUUGCAAUUCAGAACUCGCAAGGCGACAAACAUAUCCGUUUCUUAUACAUAUUCACUCUCUCUCUUCAGAUAUAUGUAUAUUUUAUUCGCAUACAUGACACAUACAAUUGUAUACAAUUAAAUUUCUCAUUUCUAUUCUCAGAUAUAUUAGGAGCUAACAUUGGAAACCCUAAAAUCCAAAUUUCGUAUUCAGACUUCGCUGAACGCAACUUUGUCACAAAUUCAAUAGUGAUUCGAUCAAGUUCGUACUGGAAUCACUUCCAUACAUUCAUCUAACAACAUGUAAGCAUUCUCAAAAUUCAAUUCAAUUCAAUUCAAUUCAAUUCAAUUCAAUUCAAUUUCUCUCUCUAUUCAUGGCUUGCAAUUGCACUCUCACUACUUCAUUUUUUCCCUCUCUUCCUUUGCUUAGUCUACCAAAAACUCGAACUGCAAAACGUUCUCUUCGCAUUCGAAGCUCAAUCACUUGCCAUUUCGAUAGCUUCGAGUCUGAUGAAGACUCGGAAUCUAGAAAAAAUCGAUUGAAUUUUCUAAAACUCUCUGUAACACUCACUUUAGUCUCAGCUUCACUGCCACAGCCCUCUUUAGCGGCAAAAGUAUCUGAAAAGAGGCGUUCUGCGAAAAAAGUGGAAGCAUUGACACCACAAGAAUUGAAAUCAUGGUCGCAAGGACUCCCUGUAGUGACGAAUCGAAUGCCUUACACGGAAAUAUUGAAUUUGAAACAAGAGGGUAAGCUCAAACACAUUGUUAAACCCCCUAGUGUAGGUUUGAAGCAAAGGCCAGAGGUGGUUUUAGCAGUAUUGGAAGAUUCUAGGGUUGUUAGGAUUGUGUUGCCGUCCAUAGAGAGUGAUCCCAAGUUUUGGGAAUCAUGGGAUGAAUUGGAGCUUGAUUCUGUUUGUGUAAAUGCUUAUACUCCACCGAUUAAGAAACCCCAAAUUCCAUCGCCCUAUUUAGGGUUUUUGUCCAAAAUUCCUGCUUGGAUGUUUUCAUUCAUGAAGUCGAAGCCGCAGUCAAAGAAAGCCUUGGAGUUUAAGAAGAUGAGGGAGGAGCUGAAACAAAAGAAGAAUGAGGAACUGUCAAGGAUGAAGCAAGAGAGGGAGAUGAUAGAUAGGGCGAUUAAGAUGCAGAAGAAGAUGGAAGACAGGAAAAGGAAACAAGAAUUAAAGAAGGUCAAGUCUGAGCAGUCUUUGCGUCAAGCACGGAGGAAUUAUAUGCAAAUGGCGAACAUGUGGGAAAACUUAGCUAGUGAUUCGAAUGUUGCAACCGCGCUUGGGUUGGUUUUCUUCGUUAUAUUUUAUCAGACAGUUGUUCUUAGCUAUAGGAGGCAGAAGAAGGAUUAUGAGGAUAGGUUGAAAAUUGAGAAAGCAGAGGCAGAUGAGAGGAAGAAAAUGAGGGAGCUAGAGAAGGAAAUGGCAGGAAUUGAGGGUGAAGAUGAUGAAAAUGAGGAAGGGGGAGGUGAGCAGAAUCCUUAUAUGAAGAUGGCCAUGCAGUUCAUGAGAUCAGGUGCUCGUGUUCGUCGGGCACAUAACAAGAGACUUCCUCAGUUUUUGGAGAGAGAUGUAGAUGUGAAAUUUACAGAUGUUGCAGGUCUUGGGAAAAUAAGGCUUGAGCUUGAGGAGAUUGUUAAGUUCUUUACCCAUGGGGAAAUGUACAGACGAAGAGGAGUGAGAAUACCAGGUGGCAUACUUCUUUGUGGUCCCCCUGGGGUUGGGAAGACUUUAUUAGCAAAAGCUGUUGCUGGUGAGGCAGGUGUCAACUUUUUCUCCAUUUCUGCCUCUCAGUUUGUGGAGAUAUAUGUUGGGGUUGGUGCUUCUCGUGUCCGUGCACUUUACCAAGAAGCAAGGGAAAAUGCUCCAUCUGUUGUCUUCAUUGAUGAAUUGGAUGCAGUUGGAAGGGAACGUGGUUUGAUUAAGGGUUCUGGUGGACAAGAACGAGAUGCCACUCUUAAUCAGCUCCUUGUGUGCUUGGAUGGGUUUGAAGGUAGAGGGAAUGUGAUCACUAUUGCUUCCACAAAUAGGCCUGAUAUUCUAGAUCCAGCUCUUGUGAGACCUGGACGGUUUGAUCGAAAAAUAUAUAUUCCUAAACCUGGCCUAAUAGGUCGCAUUGAAAUUCUGAAGGUCCACGCACGUAAGAAGCCAAUGGCUGACGAUGUGGACUAUAUGGCUGUUGCCAGUAUAACUGAUGGAAUGGUUGGUGCAGAGCUAGCCAACAUAGUUGAGGUUGCUGCUAUUAAUAUGAUGCGUGAUGGAAGAACUGAGAUUACGACUGAUGACUUGAUACAAGCCGCACAAAUAGAAGAAAGAGGAACGCUUGAUAGAAAGGAAAGGAGUCCUGAGUUGUGGAAGCAAGUAGCUAUUAAUGAAGCGGCAAUGGCUGUAGUAGCCGUGAAUUUCCCUGAUCUUAGGAACAUUGAGUUUGUCACUAUUGCUCCUAGAGCUGGCAGGGAAUUGGGUUAUGUCCGGAUGAAAAUGGAUCACUUGAAAUUCAAGGAGGGAAUGCUCAGUCGGCAAUCCCUUUUGGAUCAUAUCACUGUUCAACUAGCUCCUCGUGCAGCUGAUGAGAUUUGGUAUGGUGAGGGUCAGCUUUUACAGGUUAACCUUUUCCGAGCACGCCUGCUAUUUUCAUGUAGGCUAGCAGUGUGAUAUAAUUCUACCAUGGGUCAUAUGAUUAGUAGAAGUCGGUUAUCGUUGUUUGGAGAUGAGGUGCCAUGGUUCAUCUUUUCAGUCACUCCACCUCCAGAAAAGGGGAUCCUAUUGAAUUCUUUUAUGUUCUUGGAUAUGCAUAUAGUUAGCACAUCAUCCUUUUGAUAAGUGACACCAGUUUGCAUCUUCUAGAGAAUGUAUUACAGUUCCUUGAGACGAGAAUGCACUACAGUUAUGUUGAGUUAUUUAAGAUAACCAGAUAUGAUCUUUAAAGAAGUUACUUGGUGCCCAUGCUUUUCAAACUAACAUUUUUUUUAGAAAUAUCAGGUACAGGUCAUGAAUUUUUAUUUUAUUUUCUUGGAAAGAGGUCAUGAUUUUUUAUGAAAUAUAUAUAGGAUUAGAAAAGUGAGAUUGUUUAUUCCACCCACCCCUAACUUCUUGUUGUGAGCAGCUAAAUACUAGCAAGAAGAUAAACUAAUCAAUUCUAUUGACCAUCAGAAUUUUGAAAUUACCUGCUCCUAGAGGAAUGUUCAUGCACUCAACUGUGCUCUAGCUUUAGCAUGUGAUCAUUUUGGCUUUGAAAACAAGUGCUUUAUUUGUACACUCUUCACUCUAAAAUAAUGACCUGUGUAUAAGUAGCCUAGCGAUAACUUGGAGCCACUAUGGAGUGGAGAGCAGGGUUCAAAUCUGACCAUAAAACAGAUAAUUGAUUUAAUAAAUCAGUGAAGGGACUUGCACGGUGUUCAGUGUUUGAACAUUAUCCUUUCUGUCAUGUUAUGAGAAUUUUAUUCCAUCUUCAGGACUGAGAUUUUUGUGGUUAUGAAAUUAUGUUUCAUUGGGAUUUCAUAAGUUUAAGCUUCUGCACAUCAAUAUCCUAAUGCUACAAAGUAUUGCAGCUGAGUACGAUGUGGGCAGAAACAGCAGAUAAUGCAAGGUCGGCAGCACGGACUUUUGUUCUUGGUGGUCUUUCAGAGAAACACUACGGUUUAUCAAAUUUCUGGGUUGCAGAUCGAAUGAAUGACAUUGAUUUGGAGGCAUUGCGGAUC
RNA transcript from Cornus florida, 3728 nucleotides. It is a transcript of the gene named probable inactive ATP-dependent zinc metalloprotease FTSHI 2, chloroplastic, with no coding region annotated. The transcript has 10 exons. Lineage: Eukaryota; Viridiplantae; Streptophyta; Magnoliopsida; Cornales; Cornaceae. The record is from RefSeq and is a predicted model, not a curated record.